This is a long non-coding RNA of Perca flavescens (yellow perch), 184 nucleotides long. RefSeq lists it as uncharacterized. Lineage: Eukaryota; Metazoa; Chordata; Actinopteri; Perciformes; Percidae. The record is from RefSeq and is a predicted model, not a curated record. The transcript has 3 exons.
UGUGUAUUGUGGUACAUGCGCAUGAGAGUAGUCUGAGAAGAGGGUGUGUGGAACUGAUGAAAUCCUGUCACAUGUUGUGUCAUUACAGACUCACUCAGUAAAACAAAGAUCCAAAGAGAGCUGUGGUGUCGUGGUGAUUUUGUGGUGUGUCAUGAAACCGCUACACAGGUGGUUGAUUGAACUG